This 500-nucleotide ribosomal RNA is filed under the name uncultured bacterium. RNAcentral describes it as "partial 16S ribosomal RNA". It matches the Rfam family "Bacterial small subunit ribosomal RNA", at positions 30 to 523 of the family's 1533-position model. The record is from RNAcentral.
AUUGAACGCUGGCGGCAUGCCUUACACAUGCAAGUCGAACGGUAACAGGGAGCUUGCUCCGCUGACGAGUGGCGAACGGGUGAGUAAUGUAUCGGAACGUACCUUUUAGUGGGGGAUAACGUAGCGAAAGUUACGCUAAUACCGCAUAUUCUCUGAUGAGGAAAGCAGGGGACCUUCGGGCCUUGCGCUAAUUGAGCGGCUGAUAUCAGAUUAGCUAGUUGGUGAGGUAAAGGCUCACCAAGGCGACGAUCUGUAGCGGGUCUGAGAGGAUGAUCCGCCACACUGGAACUGAGACACGGUCCAGACUCCUACGGGAGGCAGCAGUGGGGAAUUUUGGACAAUGGGGGCAACCCUGAUCCAGCCAUGCCGCGUGAGUGAAGAAGGCCUUCGGGCUGUAAAGCUCUUUCGGCCGGGAAAAAAUCGCAUGGGUUAAUACCCUGUGUGGAUGAUGGUACCGGAAUAAGAAGCACCGGCUAACUACGUGCCAGCCGCCGCCGUAA